UGACAACCUGCAGAACCUCAAUCUGAAUAAAGAAUAAAUGAUGUAACUUUAGAAGACAAUGUUCCUGCUUGAAAUCAUUCAGUGUUUAAUAAUCUGUUCAGAGCUGAAGAAGGUUGAGAAAGUAGAAGUUUAGUUGAAACAGAUUAUUCAUUUAUUGUAUUUUUGUUUAUUUAUUAUCAUUUAGUUUUUAAAAAACAUUAUGUUGAAUAUAAGAUGAAAAUCAAGAGUUUAAGAGGUUCAGAGUGAAUUAUCCAGUGGAGAUUUUUCUUGUUAUAUUCAGGUUUUAAAUGUGUAGCUCAACAUUGCUCUGCCACAGUCAAUGGACUAAACCACUGAAGAA
Molecule: long non-coding RNA, 340 nt
Organism: Siniperca chuatsi (mandarin fish)
Lineage: Eukaryota; Metazoa; Chordata; Actinopteri; Centrarchiformes; Sinipercidae
Exons: 2
Source: RefSeq, a predicted model, not a curated record